RNAcentral lists this long non-coding RNA (1430 nucleotides) under Olea europaea subsp. europaea. The record is from RNAcentral. Lineage: Eukaryota; Viridiplantae; Streptophyta; Magnoliopsida; Lamiales; Oleaceae.
CCGCAUCUAUUUAUCAAAUUUCAGUAGGUUUUCUAAAUAUUUGCUGAAAGAACUUAUCAAGUACCAAUUGCCAGGUAAAAAGAGGAAGAGGGAGCUUAUCAUAUCGGAACCAUAUCCAGAAUCUGAGUAUUAUCCUAGUUGUAAUAUUCCAAAACCAGAUCAAGAGAGACUGGAGAGAAAGGCUGCUUAUGAACAAUCUAAGAAUGAUAUUACCAAGUGGGAACCUUCGGUCAAGAGAAACAGAGAGGCACCUACUUUAUAUUUUGAUGAGGAUGUAGACUUGGGAUUUUCAGGCGUAGGAGCAAUUGCUUCUGAAUUUGAACCCAGAAUUGAUUUCGAGAAGAAAAUUGCUUCCUUAGUGAAUGAUACUGAGGUCGUGGAAGCUCACAAAAAGAUGGUGCCAGGCUUCUUGAACUGAACAAGGUAAGGAGGUCAUAUUUAUACAUUCUGGCAUUCCAUAUAAAAAUGUAUGAUUGAUCCUCAUUUAUGGUUAUUGUUUUUAUGUGCUAUUCUAUUAUUGUAAAAGCAGCACAAAUGAUGAUAAAUAAAUAAGUUUCCUUUCUUGAUGCCAUUUUGUAGAUAUCCGUUGAAGAUGUGAAAGAUCGUCAGGCCCGAUUGGCUAAAAUGUGUAGUCUACUUUUCCGUCAUGAAACGAAGGUGAAGCGAAUAAAAAAGAUCAAGUCCAAAACCUAUCACCGCUUGUUGAAGAAAGAUAGAUCGAAAGCAUUCGAAGCUGAGAUUCAAUUGAAUCCAGAAGCUGCUAAAGACCUUGCAAUGAAACAAGAGUUCAAAAGAGCUGAGGUAUUGGAAUAUCUACGACAUGAUGUGAUUACUUCAGGAGUUGGGGUUAACUUUUGAUUUCAUUUUCGAUUCUUGAGAAUCAGCUGGUGCUUACAAUCCUUCUUGUUUCACGCAAGAAUGCAUAACUCUAAAACACAAAAACAGCUCCAAAAGGGCGAAGCGCAUCUUAAAAUGUGGUUUGGAUGUCCAAGAUGAAGGAACCCGAACAGCUUCGUCAACAUGCUACUUUGACCAGAAAAAUGAAAUCUAUGAAAGAUAGAAGUAGUAGCGAUGAGAGUACUGACAAUGAUGACAUUGAGGAAAUCUCAUAUGGUUCUGAUCAGGAUAUUGCAUCAAAACUGUUCAUGACAGCAAAAGAGAAGACACUUGAAGUGCUGGAAGGGGAUGAAGAAGUGCCUAAAUCUGGAGUGUUUUGUUUACCAUUUAUGGUAUGUUAUGUGCAUUUUUCAUUUCAAAAAUAGUAUAAUAUAAUGUAACAUAUUUAUAUGCUCGUUUACUUGAACAGGUACGUGGGUUGAAAAAGAGAAAAGAGGUUGUUGAUGAGGAAGCAAGGCUGUACAACUUAAUAAUUCGUGGGUUGUACAUUUUUUUUUAUUCUUUGUAGUACUUAGAGAUUUUAUGAUUUUGAC